CACGUACCUACCGAAUGUAUUAUUGUAUAAAAUGGAUGAAUAUUAUAAUAAUAUUGAAGUGUAUUAAAAUGAAAUUUUAAAUUCAUUUUGGUAGUUGUGUAAUUUGAAUAUAUUGAAGUAUAUAAGUUAUUAUAUAUUGAAUAAUCAAAUGAGCAGAUCUUGGUGGUAGUAACAUAAUAAUUUGUAUUUAUAGAGAUUAGGGUUGUCAUUAUGAUGACGUGAGACGGUGUUAUAAUAAAACGAAUAAUAUUAAUAUUUUAUUAUCCUAUUUAUUAAGUGGUGACACAAACAUGGACUAUUAUUUACUUAAAUUAUAAUAUAAAUGAGUUAUAAUUUUUAUGGUGUGAUAGUUGUUAUAAGAUCAUCAUUUUAAUAAUAAUAUGUUAAAAAAGAAAUAAAUAAACCGUACCUAUACCGCAUCAGGUGUCUCUGUUUUAUAACAAAUAUAUUUUAAAAUAAUCUAAGUAAGGGAAUUCGGCAAAAUAGAUCUGUAACUUUGGGAUAAAGAUUGGCUCUAGCAUGCUAGAACUUUUUAUAUUAUGAGAGGAAUCUGACUGUUUAAUAAAAACAUAGCUUUAUGAUAAUGUAAAGUGAAUUCUGCCCAGUGUAUUUAUUAGUUAAAAUAAAAUAAGCAUAUAUAAACGGCGGGAGUAACUAUGACUCUCUUAAGGUAGCCAAAUGCCUUGUCAUUUAAUUGGUGACGCGCAUGAAUGGAGCAACGAGAUUCCUACUGUCCCUAUUUAGAGCUAUGUGAAGCAACGAGACAAGGGAACGGGCUUGUUAUUUAAUCAGCGGGGAAAGAAGACCCUGUUGAGCUUUACUCUAGUAUAUUUUAAUUUAUAUAUAUUAUAUUGUAGAGAGGUGGGAGAUGUAAUGUGAAACCACUAAUAUUAAUAUUAUAUAAAUUUAUUUUUAAUUAUAUGGGGAGUUUGGCUGGGGCGGUACAACUGUUAUAAGAAACACAGUUGUCCUAAGAUACAAUUAAUUAGGAUAGAAACCUAAUGUUUAAUAUAAGGGUAUAAGUGUGUCUGAUGUAUAAAACAAUAGUUUUAUAUGAUGGGAAACCAUGGCCUAAAGAUCCUCCAAUAAUAAUUUUAUUUGAUUGGAGGUGACAGAAAAGUUACCACAGGGAUAACUGGCUUGUAGCAAAUGAGCGAUCAUAGCGACUUUGCUUUUUGAUUCUUCGAUGUCGUCUCUUCUGAUCAUCGUAGUGUAUAUGUUACGAAGUGUUGGAUUGUUCACCCGUUAAUGAGGAACGUGAGAUGGGUUUAGACCGUCGUGAGACAGGUUAGUUUUACCCUACUGUUAAUAUUAUUAAGAAAAGUUAUAUAGUGCGAGAGGAACAAUAAGUGAUGACCACUGGUGUAGCGAUUAAUUAUUCAAUUAUGUUGCAAAACUACGUCAUGAAUAAUAAAUGCUGAAAGCCUCUUAAGCAUGAAGUUAAUCUUAAUGAUAAACAAUUGAGGAAAACUACCUCUUUGAAGAGUGGGACUGUAAGAAUGAAGGUGUAUACCGACAUUUUGAGGUUACCAUUUCGUUCUAUGUAAAAAUA
RNAcentral lists this ribosomal RNA (1552 nucleotides) under Nosema maddoxi. RNAcentral describes it as "LSU rRNA". It matches the Rfam family "Eukaryotic large subunit ribosomal RNA", at positions 1287 to 3401 of the family's 3401-position model. The record is from RNAcentral. Lineage: Eukaryota; Fungi; Microsporidia; Nosematidae.